GUGAGACAGGUGCUGCAUGGCUGUCGUCAGCUCGUGUUGUGAAAUGUUGGGUUAAGUCCCGCAACGAGCGCAACCCUUAUCCUUUGUUGCCAGCGAUUAGGUCGGGAACUCAAAGGAGACUGCCAGUGAUAAACUGGAGGAAGGUGGGGAUGACGUCAAGUCAUCAUGGCCCUUACGACCAGGGCUACACACGUGCUACAAUGGCGCAUACAAAGAGAAGCGACCUCGCGAGAGCAAGCGGACCUCAUAAAGUGCGUCGUAGUCCGGAUUGGAGUCUGCAACUCGACUCCAUGAAGUCGGAAUCGCUAGUAAUCGUGGAUCAGAAUGCCACGGUGAAUACGUUCCCGGGCCUUGUACACACCGCCCGUCACACCAUGGGAGUGGGUUGCAAAAGAAGUAGGUAGCUUAACCUUCGGGAGGGCGC
Molecule: ribosomal RNA, 424 nt
Filed under: Salmonella enterica subsp. enterica serovar Derby
Lineage: Bacteria; Pseudomonadati; Pseudomonadota; Gammaproteobacteria; Enterobacterales; Enterobacteriaceae
Description: bacterial SSU rRNA
Rfam family: Bacterial small subunit ribosomal RNA
Source: RNAcentral